GACGAACGCUGGCGGCGUGCCUGAUACAUGCAAGUAGAACGCACAGUUUAUACCGUAGCUUGCUACACCAUAGACUGUGAGUUGCGAACGGGUGAGUAACGCGUAGGUAACCUGCCUGGUAGCGGGGGAUAACUAUUGGAAACGAUAGCUAAUACCGCAUAAUAUUGAUUAUUGCAUGAUAAUUGAUUGAAAGAUGCUAUUGCAUCACUACCAGAUGGACCUGCGUUGUAUUAGCUAGUAGGUGAGGUAACGGCUCACCUAGGCGACGAUACAUAGCCGACCUGAGAGGGUGAUCGGCCACACUGGGACUGAGACACGGCCCAGACUCCUACGGGAGGCAGCAGUAGGGAAUCUUCGGCAAUGGACGAAAGUCUGACCGAGCAACGCCGCGUGAGUGAAGAAGGUUUUCGGAUCGUAAAGCUCUGUUGUAAGAGAAGAACGGGUGUGAGAGUGGAAAGUUCACACUGUGACGGUAUCUUACCAGAAAGGGACGGCUAACUACGUGC
RNAcentral lists this ribosomal RNA (506 nucleotides) under uncultured bacterium. Its description in RNAcentral is "partial 16S ribosomal RNA". It matches the Rfam family "Bacterial small subunit ribosomal RNA", at positions 28 to 508 of the family's 1533-position model. The record is from RNAcentral.